UGCAAGUCGAGCGGAUGAAGGGAGCUUGCUCCUGGAUCAGCGGCGGACGGGUGAGUAAUGCCUAGGAAUCUGCCUGGUAGUGGGGGAUAACGUCCGGAAACGGGCGCUAAUACCGCAUACGUCCUGAGGGAGAAAGUGGGGGAUCUUCGGACCUCACGCUAUCAGAUGAGCCUAGGUCGGAUUAGCUAGUUGGUGGGGUAAAGGCCUACCAAGGCGACGAUCCGUAACUGGUCUGAGAGGAUGAUCAGUCACACUGGAACUGAGACACGGUCCAGACUCCUACGGGAGGCAGCAGUGGGGAAUAUUGGACAAUGGGCGAAAGCCUGAUCCAGCCAUGCCGCGUGUGUGAAGAAGGUCUUCGGAUUGUAAAGCACUUUAAGUUGGGAGGAAGGGCAGUAAGUUAAUACCUUGCUGUUUGACGUACCAACAGAAUAAGCACCGG
Molecule: ribosomal RNA, 442 nt
Filed under: Pseudomonas aeruginosa
Lineage: Bacteria; Pseudomonadati; Pseudomonadota; Gammaproteobacteria; Pseudomonadales; Pseudomonadaceae
Description: bacterial SSU rRNA
Rfam family: Bacterial small subunit ribosomal RNA
Source: RNAcentral